GACGAACGCUGGCGGCGUGCUUAACACAUGCAAGUCGAACGGAAAGGCCCUGCUUUUGUGGGGUGCUCGAGUGGCGAACGGGUGAGUAACACGUGAGUAACCUGCCCUUGACUUUGGGAUAACUUCAGGAAACUGGGGCUAAUACCGGAUAGGAGCUCCUGCUGCAUGGUGGGGGUUGGAAAGUUUCGGCGGUUGGGGAUGGACUCGCGGCUUAUCAGCUUGUUGGUGGGGUAGUGGCUUACCAAGGCUUUGACGGGUAGCCGGCCUGAGAGGGUGACCGGCCACAUUGGGACUAAGAUACGGCCCAGACUCCUACGGGAGGCAGCAGUGGGGAAUAUUGCACAAUGGGCGGAAGCCUGAUGCAGCAACGCCGCGUGCGUGAUGACGGCCUUCGGGUUGUAAACCGCUUUCGCCUGUGACGAAGCGUGAUUGACGGUAAUGGGUAAAGAAGCACCGGCUAACUACGUG
This 468-nucleotide ribosomal RNA is filed under the name uncultured bacterium. RNAcentral describes it as "partial 16S ribosomal RNA". It matches the Rfam family "Bacterial small subunit ribosomal RNA", at positions 28 to 507 of the family's 1533-position model. The record is from RNAcentral.